RNAcentral lists this ribosomal RNA (546 nucleotides) under uncultured Glomus. RNAcentral's name for it is "SSU rRNA". It matches the Rfam family "Eukaryotic small subunit ribosomal RNA", at positions 548 to 1098 of the family's 1831-position model. The record is from RNAcentral. Lineage: Eukaryota; Fungi; Glomeromycota; Glomeromycetes; Glomerales; Glomeraceae.
UUGGAGGGCAAGUCUGGUGCCAGCAGCCGCGGUAAUUCCAGCUCCAAUAGCGUAUAUUAAAGUUGUUGCAGUUAAAAAGCUCGUAGUUGAAUUUCGGGAUUAGUACGUCGGUCGUGCCUUAGGUACGUACUGGUGUUACUGGUUCCUACCUUCUGACGAACCAUCAUGUCAUUAAUUUGGUGUGGUGGGGAAUCAGGACUGUUACUUUGAAAAAAUUAGAGUGUUUAAAGCAGGCUCGCGCUUGAAUACAUUAGCAUGGAAUAAUGAAAUAGGACGUUGAUCCUAUUUUGUUGGUUUCUAGGAUUGACGUAAUGAUUAAUAGGGAUAGUUGGGGGCAUUAGUAUUCAAUUGUCAGAGGUGAAAUUCUUGGAUUUAUUGAAGACUAACUACUGCGAAAGCAUUUGCCAAGGAUGUUUUCAUUAAUCAAGAACGAAAGUUAGGGGAUCGAAGACGAUCAGAUACCGUCGUAGUCUUAACCAUAAACUAUGCCGACUAGGGAUCGGAUGAUGUUAUUUUUAAUGACUCAUUCGGCGCCUUACGGGAAAC